RNAcentral lists this ribosomal RNA (1169 nucleotides) under Acinetobacter sp. 983B6_12ECASO. RNAcentral describes it as "bacterial SSU rRNA". It matches the Rfam family "Bacterial small subunit ribosomal RNA", at positions 53 to 1217 of the family's 1533-position model. The record is from RNAcentral. Lineage: Bacteria; Pseudomonadati; Pseudomonadota; Gammaproteobacteria; Moraxellales; Moraxellaceae.
ACAUGCAAGUCGAGCGGGCGAGGUUGCUUCGGUAACUGAGCUAGCGGCGGACGGGUGAGUAAUGCUUAGGAAUCUGCCUAUUAGUGGGGGACAACAUUCCGAAAGGAAUGCUAAUACCGCAUACGUCCUACGGGAGAAAGCAGGGGAUCAUUUGACCUUGCGCUAAUAGAUGAGCCUAAGUCGGAUUAGCUAGUUGGUGGGGUAAAGGCCUACCAAGGCGACGAUCUGUAGCGGGUCUGAGAGGAUGAUCCGCCACACUGGGACUGAGACACGGCCCAGACUCCUACGGGAGGCAGCAGUGGGGAAUAUUGGACAAUGGGGGGAACCCUGAUCCAGCCAUGCCGCGUGUGUGAAGAAGGCCUUUUGGUUGUAAAGCACUUUAAGCGAGGAGGAGGCUCUCUUGGUUAAUACCUAAGAAGAGUGGACGUUACUCGCAGAAUAAGCACCGGCUAACUCUGUGCCAGCAGCCGCGGUAAUACAGAGGGUGCGAGCGUUAAUCGGAUUUACUGGGCGUAAAGCGCGCGUAGGUGGCUAAUUAAGUCAAAUGUGAAAUCCCCGAGCUUAACUUGGGAAUUGCAUUCGAUACUGGUUGGCUAGAGUAUGGGAGAGGAUGGUAGAAUUCCAGGUGUAGCGGUGAAAUGCGUAGAGAUCUGGAGGAAUACCGAUGGCGAAGGCAGCCAUCUGGCCUAAUACUGACACUGAGGUGCGAAAGCAUGGGGAGCAAACAGGAUUAGAUACCCUGGUAGUCCAUGCCGUAAACGAUGUCUACUAGCCGUUGGGGGAUUUGAUCCUUUAGUGGCGCAGCUAACGCGAUAAGUAGACCGCCUGGGGAGUACGGUCGCAAGACUAAAACUCAAAUGAAUUGACGGGGGCCCGCACAAGCGGUGGAGCAUGUGGUUUAAUUCGAUGCAACGCGAAGAACCUUACCUGGCCUUGACAUAGUAGAAACUUUCCAGAGAUGGAUUGGUGCCUUCGGGAAUCUACAUACAGGUGCUGCAUGGCUGUCGUCAGCUCGUGUCGUGAGAUGUUGGGUUAAGUCCCGCAACGAGCGCAACCCUUUUCCUUACUUGCCAGCAUUUCGGAUGGGAACUUUAAGGAUACUGCCAGUGACAAACUGGAGGAAGGCGGGGACGACGUCAAGUCAUCAUGGCCCUUACGGCCAGGGCUAC